AACGAACGCUGGCGGCAUGCCUAACACAUGCAAGUCGAACGAGACCUUCGGGUCUAGUGGCGCACGGGUGCGUAACGCGUGGGAACCUGCCCUUAGGUUCGGAAUAACUCCCCGAAAGGGGUGCUAAUACCGGAUAAUGUCCUCGGACCAAAGAUUUAUCGCGUUUGGAUGGGCCCGCGUUGGAUUAGCUAGUUGGUAGGGUAAAAGCCUACCAAGGCGACGAUCCAUAGCUGGUCUGAGAGGAUGAUCAGCCACACUGGGACUGGGACACGGUGCAGACUCCUACGGGAGGCAGCAGUGGGGAAUAUUGGACAAUGGGCGAGAGCCUGAUCCAGCAAUGCCGCGUGAGUGAUGAAGGCCUUAGGGUUGUAAAGCUCUUUUACCCGGGAUGAUAAUGACAGUACCGGGAGAAUAAGCUCCGGCUAACUCCGUG
This 433-nucleotide ribosomal RNA is filed under the name uncultured bacterium. RNAcentral's name for it is "partial 16S ribosomal RNA". It matches the Rfam family "Bacterial small subunit ribosomal RNA", at positions 29 to 507 of the family's 1533-position model. The record is from RNAcentral.